GCGCGCCCGCCCCGCCCCCCACCGCGCCCCCCGGGGACCCCAGCACAGCAGGUCCGGGGGCAGCGCGCAGAGCCUGGGCCAAGGGCACGGGCGCGGGGGGCGGGGCAGGCGCGGACCCUCCCUCCCCAGGACCCGCCAGACGCCCGCGGCUCCCAAUGGCCAGCGCGGUCCGAAUCGACCCCAAGCUUCACCCGAGGGCAGCGGGGCCCCCGGGAAUGCCCGGCCAGGGCGGUGUCGCCGGCGUGAAUGGGGGAGGGGGCGGCCGGGGCAGGACCCGGGGCAGGGCCGCUCUGGUGGUCUCCUGCCCACCCCCCCCCAAGCCCAGCUCCCGGCCUCCCUCCCUCUCCCCCGUCCAGGGCUGAGGACUGGGGAAGCCGAGUCCCGGGGCGGGUGUGGGGGGUGGGGCUUGGGAUGCAGCAGGGGACCCCGAAGCCACCAGCAGGGGAGAAGGCCCGGUCCCUGAGCCAGGCUCGCAGGUAAGACGCGAGGCCGCAAACCCCGGCGGCCCCCACCCCCAGCCCAGGCUCUGAUCUGGCCCCACACUGGCGUUUUGUGGAGGAGAACCUGGAAUCCACGGGAGAUGUCAGCCAAGCCACGCAGCACAGGGGCCCAGCUUCCAGUCGCAGAAUGACGUUUAUCUCAGGAAAUGCAGAGGACCAGAACCAGGCAGGACCGGGCACUGGGACGGAGACAGCUGUCUGCAGGGCGUUUACCGUAGAUAUGUAUCACCUGUUCUGAGACGGAGCCGGGGAGGCUGUUUUUAAUCAUCCGGGAGCCUUGGCAAGAUCAGUCCUUUGUGGCACGUCCAGGAUUUAAGCUUUGGACCACCAAUGAGGAGGGCGUUGGUCUGAGCCUGCUUUUCCAAAUGCCGUCUUCCCUUCUUGGGCUCAGGCAGCAGAUCCAACUAUGGGCACAGCAGGCCUUGGGAAGGCGAUGCAGGUUCACAGUGUGCUGAAGAUGGAGAGAUGCAGGGGACUCAAACCCACCGGCCGAGGCACCACCCGCUUCUCCAGGUAAAGAGGAUUCAUUUUUCCUGUUUCCUCCUGGCCCAUGAUGUGGACAACUUGCCCCUUCAUCGUAAGCGCUCAGGUUGGUGAACAAUUCACCCACCAGCAUAUUCAAACCACAGCCAAACAGUGGCUGAAAAUGACAGCAAGCAGCCACUUAGCACAGGGAUCUGUCAGUGGGCUGGACGCGACAGGGAAGAUUUGGCUCUGCGCCUGGGUCCGGGACCCCGAAUGGCAGUGGGGUUGGCUCUGCACCUGGGGCCCGGGACCCUGACUGGCGGUGGGGUUGGCUCUGCACCUGGGGCCCGGGACCCUGACUGGCGGUGGGGGCUGGAGGAAGCUGCGCUCAUUGGACGGCUCGGCACUCACACAUCUGAGGGUUGUGGCUGGCCUUGGCAGAGACCUGCUCCUGGCAGUGGCUGAGCUGUCGGAAUCCAGCACCUGCCCCUCCACUUGGCCUGAGCUUCCUCACAGCAUGGCUGCCGGGUUCCAAACUCCAGCCCCAGGAGAGAUGGCCAGGCAGGAGCUGCAUCAUGUUCUCCCAUUUCCUGUUCUUGAUUCACCCCCACUGGGCACUGCAGCCUUCCUGCCAACACAGCUCUCAGGAGUAUGGCUGCCACACGCAGAGGCAUUUCCCCACACGGCCCUCCUGUGUGCUGUAAAUGCUGACAGCUCCUCAAUGGAACCCGCGUAUGGUGGGCGCUGCUUCCUCGUGUAAAUGCUCCUGUCAUAACUGGUUUCAAGCCGACAGUACAACCACCGAGUCCAGAGUCAGGAACGACGGCUCUGCACGCUGGUGGGAAUUCUCCCCGGCUCGCGCCUGCACCCCGGCCAUGGCUCUGUGGAGCUCUCCGUCCCAGGGAACCUUCUCCUGGCUUUCGCAUCCUGCCCCUUCCCAGAUUUCCGACCUCUCUGGCUGUGCCUUCUGUGCCUUCCCCGCAGCCCUGAUGUGGGCAUGGCUCAUGUCCAGCACUCCUCAGCACUUCCUUCUUUCCCAGCUCCGCCCACGACUUCCUCCACGCCUGCUCCGUUUCUGUCUGAGUGCGGGCCACUCCCAGGUUGACACCUGUGUUCCACAUUGCACGGCUCGGCGUGUGGGCUUGGACAGUGGGAGAUGCAGCUUUCCAUGAACAGCCCUGGUGUGUGGUCUGGCAAGUGGCGAGGCGGCUCCGUGGUGGUCAGGACUGAACUUGGGGUCUUGCUGCUCUGCUACCCUCCACCCAGAUCUGCAGCUCAGAGCUGAAGGAACCGGCCCACGGGAUGACAGAGCCUGAAAAACCCAGAUCUACAGGGAAGACCCUCAGACUGUCUGAAGGUCAACUGCCAAGGAGGCCCCAUGUCAGGGAGGGAAAUCGGUGCAGCUCAAAGUCCACGAUUUAAACGUCAGUCUCAUCCAAAAACACCCUCGCGGAAGCAUCCAGAGAAACGUCUGACCGAAUGUCUGGACCCCGUGGCCCAACCAAGUCUACAUGUAAAAUUAGCCAUCACGGGCCACGCAGAUGCCUCUCUGGGUGGCACCGACUGUGGCGGCCUUCACGGUUCUCUCGAGCUAGAACUUCCCAUUCACGGGCAGAGCCUCCCAGCAGGCCCACGGCCCAUGCACCGCGGCCCCACAACUGUCCUCCUGGGUGCAGGGCUUGGUCCAUGGGGACAUGUGCACCAGCAGACCCCAUGAGACCGCCCACACAUGUGCAGGCCCUGAGCGAGAGAGACCCUAGACCACAGCUGCUGCUGCGCCCGUCACAUGGAGAAGCAGCCUGAGGAUGCAGAGGAAGAGCCGGCCACCCCCAGAGGAGACCUCGGAUGGGGAGAGAACGGGGCAAGGGCUGGCGGGUGACAGGUUUCAUUUCUGGCUCCGAGGAGGGCCGCUGUUGCCUCCGACUUCCCAGAAGUGGCACGAACAAAAUCCUCCUCUCCCUUAAGCUGGGUGGAGCUGGGUCCACGUCGCUGCAGCUGUGAGUGUCCGGCUGUCCCCACGCGGCGUCCUGAGCGAACAUCACAUUCUGCUCAGAAGGGACGUGUCACCUCGCCAGCAUCCCCUCACAGGCAGGACACCUCACCUUUCACCAGAUCCACCUCCCGACAAGACGUGUGGCCGGGGCCCAGGAGCGCCGCGUGGCCGACGUUUAGGUCACUUCUGCGGCAAGUCUCGCUCUCCCGGUCGGCUCCUUGGACAUCCCUCCCUGUCACAGCAGGUUGAAGUGGGCCCUGUGAGACCACUGGUGUCCAUGUAGCAAGAGAGAAGUGUGGGCACAGACGCACAGAGGGAGAAGGCCGCGCGGGGACCGGCGCAGAGGCUGCAGCGAGGUGCGGCCAGGAGGGCGUGGCACGGCCUUGCCAGCUGAAGGCCGGAUGUCUCCGGUGGGCCUGUCAGGCAGGGCUGAAGAAAGGUAUCAGCCGGAUCAACGGCUGCACAGCAGGCACCACAGUGAGUGGAUCUGCUCGAGCAGCGAAGCCACGCCUGGCACAGCAACUGCAGUUGGAGGCCCCACCUGGGCCAGCCUCAGGCACCCAUUGCUUCCCCAGGACGCAUCUGUCUACUGCACAGGCCAGAUGGCUGAGCCGGAUGGGGCUGGGGGUGGAUCGCCACCGCUGCAUCUUCCAAGGACCUGGUGGGGACACUGAGCUCUGCAGCCCUUCUGCCAUGCGGUCUUGCUUUUGAUUUAUGGCUUUUUUUAAAAAAGUAGAAGCAGCUCUGAUGUCUCCCACCAGCAUCUCCCUCCACCCCAGGCCUCACGCCACAGGGCGGGGAGCGGACGUGGGGUCUGCCAGCUCUAGUGUGUCCGUUCCAGUUGCGCACCUGGAGCUGGGAAAUGGCCCUGGGAUGCAUCCCGGGACCCACUGGGCCUGCGGUGUCAAACCUGAGCUAAAAUGGCACGGCCACCCGCCCUCCACAAGCCCCUAAGUGGAGAGCCGCAGUGAUGCUUUGGGGUUCCCAGAACCAAUGUCAGUUCAGCGCCCAUGUCCGGGAGUCCCUGAAAGGUCUAGUUCAGACCCGGUCACCGAGGCAGAAGCCCACAGGUCCCGCAGGGCAGGGCGGGGAAGAGGAGCCCACACUUUCAGGGGGGCCCAGGGCCCUUUCUGAAGGGGUUUGGUAUGUAAACCGCACGCAUCUGAGAACCUGAGACCUGCUGGAGGGGCUGAGACUGGUUUGAUGACUCCAUUAGACUUUUGUUAAUCUAAAACCUUCCUGCUUAUGUAGAUUAGGUAAAGAUUUGGGAGGCCUCCCAUCGGUCCUUGGAAGGAGUGCGGUGGUGGGUCCCCGAUGCUGUGGGUCCACGACGUCCCCUCACCUUCAGCUUCACUCCAGUUUCUGUUACUCAUAGCCAACUGCAGCCAAGAAUACGAAAGCCCAGGAGGAAAUCGC
Molecule: non-coding RNA, 4374 nt
Organism: Macaca mulatta (Rhesus monkey)
Lineage: Eukaryota; Metazoa; Chordata; Mammalia; Primates; Cercopithecidae
Source: RefSeq, a predicted model, not a curated record